GAUGUAUAGAUAUGGACAAAUUCUCUUGAAAAUUGAAUGCACAUUCAAACUAUCUAAACACAACUACCAUGCCCCUGGUUAAGAUUAAGGGUUUUUAAAUCUGAAAGAAACACCAACUUCUAGGCUUAAAGUGGUUAACUAGGGAUUAACUCCUUAUCUCUUCGGUGUUUGGGGAUUUGAAACAAUGGCUUAUAUCAUCAGCAAAGUUUUCUUUGAAAGCACACCGCAUCAAUUAUGGGUAAUUGGUU
RNAcentral lists this long non-coding RNA (248 nucleotides) under Lathyrus oleraceus (garden pea). RNAcentral describes it as "Pisum sativum (pea) long non-coding RNA (PSAT_LNC036634)". The record is from RNAcentral. Lineage: Eukaryota; Viridiplantae; Streptophyta; Magnoliopsida; Fabales; Fabaceae.